GUGGCUGUGGCUCAGUGGUAGAGCACUUGACUAGCACAGGUGAGGCCCUGGGUUCGAUCCUCAGCAUCACA
RNAcentral lists this transfer RNA (71 nucleotides) under Ictidomys tridecemlineatus (thirteen-lined ground squirrel). Its description in RNAcentral is "Spermophilus tridecemlineatus (thirteen-lined ground squirrel) tRNA". It matches the Rfam family "tRNA". From Rfam's summary of the family: Transfer RNA (tRNA) molecules are approximately 80 nucleotides in length. Their secondary structure includes four short double-helical elements and three loops (D, anti-codon, and T loops). Further hydrogen bonds mediate the characteristic L-shaped molecular structure. tRNAs have two regions of fundamental functional importance: the anti-codon, which is responsible for specific mRNA codon recognition, and the 3' end, to which the tRNAs corresponding amino acid is attached (by aminoacyl-tRNA synthetases). tRNAs cope with the degeneracy of the genetic code in two manners: having more than one tRNA (with a specific anti-codon) for a particular amino acid; and 'wobble' base-pairing, i.e. permitting non-standard base-pairing at the 3rd anti-codon position. RNAcentral also lists the same sequence under 1 other name. The record is from Rfam by way of RNAcentral. Lineage: Eukaryota; Metazoa; Chordata; Mammalia; Rodentia; Sciuridae.